Molecule: long non-coding RNA, 520 nt
Filed under: Acromyrmex echinatior (Panamanian leafcutter ant)
Lineage: Eukaryota; Metazoa; Arthropoda; Insecta; Hymenoptera; Formicidae
Description: uncharacterized LOC105145161, transcript variant X1
Source: RNAcentral
GAAAAAUUUUAACAUAGCCCAUUAUCCGAAACACCUCUGAAGGAGAUUCUAACCGGAUGAGGGGAAUAUACCAGGAUCCGGUCUCCUGAUUGUGCAUGAUUCGCACCUCCGCAUGACCACAUUGGGCACACCACAUUCGGAACCAUUUACCCGGCGGCAUUUCAUCAGGCAAUACACCUGUGACAGCACUGGAAGAAGAAACUGCAGAGAAAGAUAAAAACACAAUUCAACAAGAAGAAACGAACAGGAGCACAUCUACCAGCACAUAUUUCUCAACUAAGGCAGAAACUCCGAAGAAGAAGAAGUUAAAAGAAUGAAAUUUAAAAUUACAAGCAAAAAAUAAAAUGCUGUGCGAAAGAAUUAGACGACCGAAAAAAAAUAGAGGAUGGAAAACACAAUAAAAAAUAAGCAAGAUUCUAAGGAUCAGUUCGUUGACUAGUAAGUUGACAACUAAUAACUUGUAAAUUACUAUCUACAAAUGUGCAAUUAUUAUCUGCACAGAUUGAUACCCAAAUUAAAA